CUACGGGGCGCACCAGUGAGGAAUAUUGCACAAUGGAGGAAACUCUGAUGCAGCAACGCCGCGUGGAGGAUGACGCAUUUCGGUGUGUAAACUCCUUUUAUGAGUCAAGAAAAUGACGGUAGCUCAUGAAUAAGCACCGGCUAACUCCGUGCCAGCAGCCGCGGUAAUACGGAGGGUGCAAGCGUUACUCGGAAUCACUGGGCGUAAAGGACGCGUAGGCGGGAGAUCAAGUCAGGUGUGAAAUCCUACAGCUUAACUGUAGAACUGCACUUGAAACUGGUAACCUAGAGUAUGGGAGGGGGAGAUGGAAUUAGUGGUGUAGCGGUAAAAUCCGUAGAUAUCACUAGGAAUACCUAAAGCGAAGGCGAUCUCCUGGAACAUUACUGACGCUAAGGCGUGAAAGCGUGGGGAGCAAACAGGAUUAGAUACCCGUGUAGUC
This 439-nucleotide ribosomal RNA is filed under the name uncultured bacterium. RNAcentral's name for it is "partial 16S ribosomal RNA". It matches the Rfam family "Bacterial small subunit ribosomal RNA", at positions 339 to 795 of the family's 1533-position model. The record is from RNAcentral.